UGCAGUCGAACGGCAGCACAGCCAGAGCUUGCUCUGUGGGUGGCGAGUGGCGGACGGGUUGAGGAAUACAUGGGAAUCUGCCCAGUCGUGGGGGAUAACGUAUGGAAACGUACGCUAAUACCGCAUGCGCCCUUUGGGGGAAAGCCGGGGACCUUCGGGCCUGGCGCGAUUGGAUGAGCCCAUGUUCGAUUAGCUAGUUGGCGGGGUAAAGGCCCACCAAGGCGACGAUCGAUAGCUGGUCUGAGAGGAUGAUCAGCCACACUGGGACUGAGACACGGCCCAGACUCCUACGGGAGGCAGCAGUAGGGAAUAUUGGACAAUGGGCGCAAGCCUGAUCCAGCCAUGCCGCGUGAGUGAAGAAGGCCCUCGGGUUGUAAAGCUCUUUUGUUGGGGAAGAAAAGCAGUCGGUUAAUACCUGAUUGUUCUGACGGUACCCAAAGAAUAAGCACCGGCUAACUUCGUGCCAGCAGCCGCGGUAAUACGAAGGGUGCAAGCGUUACUCGGAAUUACUGGGCGUAAAGCGUGCGUAGGUGGUUUGUUAAGUCUGAUGUGAAAGCCCUGGGCUCAACCUGGGAAUGGCACUGGAUA
RNAcentral lists this ribosomal RNA (588 nucleotides) under Thermomonas fusca. Its description in RNAcentral is "bacterial SSU rRNA". It matches the Rfam family "Bacterial small subunit ribosomal RNA", at positions 56 to 632 of the family's 1533-position model. The record is from RNAcentral. Lineage: Bacteria; Pseudomonadati; Pseudomonadota; Gammaproteobacteria; Lysobacterales; Lysobacteraceae.